AAUCUCCAAAUCUCUCUAUAAACAUGUAGUUGGAGUUUCUAAAUAAAAACAACAACUAAGGCAUUGAGGAAAUCAAAUAUUUUUUACUCGUAACAUUAUAAAGGGAGGGACAUUUGGGAAGAUGAAAUUCGAGUGACCAUCCAAGAGGAACAGGGCUGAGAGGUACAAUGUGCUCUGCUCCCUGUGUAAGUGUAGUAGGCAAAGUUCUGUGGUGGCUUCUGUGAUUUUUGACACUGUCUGGGCAAGUCCUGAGUAUUUUCUCCCUUGAGUGUGGGCAGAGCCUCUGCAUAUGAACUAUUUGAAUAUUGGCUCCCUUGAUUCUGCCACUUUGCAUGUGCAAUGGUGAAGAGGUUACAUUAAAUACAUGGCAGACUGGGUGGGGGAUGAGAGUCUGCACCAUGAGCUCCCACCAGCCUGGGAGGAAGCAAAUCAUCGUGUGGCGUGAACAGCUUGUUGGGGGCACAUGGAGCUUCUGUGGGUGGCCUCAAACAGCUGGAAGUGAACUCCAGUGGACAGCUGCUGGAACAUCCAAAAAGCUUGGAAUUCAUCACCCACAUCUGUAGAACAAGAAAAUGCUGAGCAAAUUGAAAAUGGGUGACUUUUCUUUGACAUAUCAGAGAAGUGAGGUUGCAUGGGAAAGCACCAUCCUGAAAUCUGAAAGCGCAGGUGAGUUCAAAGAGUUAGAGCCUACUGGGCGCGGUGGCUCACUCCUGUAAUCCCAGCACCUUGGGAGGUCAAGGUAGGCGGAUCACC
Molecule: long non-coding RNA, 753 nt
Filed under: Homo sapiens (human)
Lineage: Eukaryota; Metazoa; Chordata; Mammalia; Primates; Hominidae
Description: HSALNT0132293
Source: RNAcentral